UGUUAAGAACGCUGUGGGAUGUUG
Molecule: non-coding RNA, 24 nt
Filed under: Mus musculus (house mouse)
Lineage: Eukaryota; Metazoa; Chordata; Mammalia; Rodentia; Muridae
Source: RNAcentral